CUCUCUCUAUUUCUUCUGCUGUUUGCCGAAUGCCGACCUCAUGUUUGUUUCCCGAGAAAUCGUUUUCUCGGCUGGGAAAUCCGGGCCCGGUUAUCCGAUGUGUCGGCGUCGGCGAUAGUGCAAUAUCCAAUUUGCUUCCCUUCUCAUGCCUGAGGAUUUGACAGAGGAAUGAGAAUAGGGGAGAGAAGAGGGAGGCAACAGUUCAAAGAUUGAAGCUGGGUUGCAUGAGGUGAGAGUAGGGUUGAUAAUAGAAAGUGGAAGCAAGGAAGAGCAAGAACAAUUUCUCUGAACAAUGUGAUCGAACAUGGAUUAGAAUAUGGUUCAUUCAAGCCUUAUAACCAUCGCCGUUGAAGAAGGAACUACAGAUUUAUUAUCAUCAGCAGAAACAAGAACAACAAGGAAUUUCUCUGAAACAAAAUAUCUACCGGAGCAACCAGAUCGGCAACUGUUCUUGAAAGGAGUUCCCAGAAGAAAGAGUUUCCUCUGU
Molecule: long non-coding RNA, 487 nt
Organism: Tarenaya hassleriana
Lineage: Eukaryota; Viridiplantae; Streptophyta; Magnoliopsida; Brassicales; Cleomaceae
Exons: 3
Source: RefSeq, a predicted model, not a curated record